This 465-nucleotide ribosomal RNA is filed under the name uncultured Weissella sp. RNAcentral's name for it is "bacterial SSU rRNA". It matches the Rfam family "Bacterial small subunit ribosomal RNA", at positions 338 to 795 of the family's 1533-position model. The record is from RNAcentral. Lineage: Bacteria; Bacillati; Bacillota; Bacilli; Lactobacillales; Lactobacillaceae.
CCUACGGGAGGCUGCAGUAGGGAAUCUUCCACAAUGGACGAAAGUCUGAUGGAGCAACGCCGCGUGAGGGAUGAAGGGUUUCGGCUCGUAAAACACUGUUGUAAGAGAAGAAUGACAUUGAGAGUAACUGUUCAGUGUGUGACGGUAUCUUACAAGAAAGGAACGGCUAAAUACGUGCCAGCAGCCGCGGUAAUACGUAUGUUCCAAGCGUGAACCGGAUUUAUUGGGCGUAAAGCGAGCGCAGACGGUUGUGUAAGUCAGAAGUGAAAUCCCACAGCUUAACUGUGGAAGUGCUAUGGAAACUGGAGAACUUGAGUGCAGUAGAGGAGAGUGGAACUCGAUGUGUAGCGGUGAAAUGCGUAGAUAUAUGGAAGAACACCAGUGGCGAAGGCGGCUCUCUGGACUGUAACUGACGUUGAGGCUCGAAAGUGUGGGUAGCAAACAGGAUUAGAUACCCUUGUAGUC